Molecule: ribosomal RNA, 848 nt
Filed under: uncultured prokaryote
Description: bacterial SSU rRNA
Rfam family: Archaeal small subunit ribosomal RNA
Source: RNAcentral
GCCUAAAGGGGCCGUAGCUUGAUAAUAGGGUCCCUUGAGAAAUCCGCCGGCUUAACUGGCGGGCGUUCAGGGGAAACUUGUUUUCUAGGGACCGGGAGAGGUGAGGGGUACUGCCGGGGUAGGAGUGAAAUCCUGUAAUCCCGGUGGGACCACCUAUGGCGAAGGCAUCUCACCAGAACGGGUCCGACAGUGAGGGACGAAAGCUGGGGGAGCAAACCGGAUUAGAUACCCGGGUAGUCCCAGCUGUAAACUAUGUGCGUUAGGUGUGUCAGUGACCACGUGUCACUGAGGUGCCGAAGGGAAACCGUGAAACGCACCGCCUGGGGAGUACGGUCGCAAGGCUGAAACGUAAAGGAAUUGGCGGGGGAGCACCACAACGGGUGGAGCCUGCGGUUUAAUCGGACUCAACGCCGGGAAUCUCACCGGAUAAGACAGCUGAAUGAUAGUCGGGAUGAAGACUCUACUUGACUAGCUGAGAGGAGGUGCAUGGCCGUCGUCAGUUCGUACUGUGAAGCAUCCUGUUUAGUCAGGCAACGAGCGAGACCCACGCGAGCAGUUGCCAGCUUGACCUUCGGGUUGAUGGGGACACUGCUCGGACCGCCUCUGCUAAAGGGGAGGAAGGACUGGGCAACGGUAGGUCAGCAUGCCCCGAAUUAUCCGGGCUACACGCGGGCUACAAUGGACAGGACAAUGAGUUUCGACACCGAGAGGUGAGGAUAAUCUUCUAACCCUGUCCCAAGUUCGGAUUGCGGGUUGUAACUCACCCGCAUGAAGCUGGAAUCCGUAGUAAUCGCGUUUCAACAUACCGCGGAGAGUAUGUCCCUGCUCCUUGCACACACCGCCCGUAA